AUGGAUCACCAGUGAGUGGCGGACGGGUGAGCUAACACGUAGGUAACCUGCCCCGGAGCGGGGGAUAACAUUUGGAAACAGAUGCUAAUACCGCAUAACAACAAAAGCCACAUGGCGUUUUGUUUGAAAGAUGGCUUUAGCUAUCACUCUGGGAUGGACCUGCGGUGCAUUAGCUAGUUGGUAAGGUAACGGCUUACCAAGGCGAUGAUGCAUAGCCGAGUUGAGAGACUGAUCGGCCACAAUGGAACUGAGACACGGUCCAUACUCCUACGGGAGGCAGCAGUAGGGAAUCUUCCACAAUGGGCGCAAGCCUGAUGGAGCAACACCGCGUGAGUGAAGAAGGGUUUCGGCUCGUAAAGCUCUGUUGUUGGAGAAGAACGUGCGUGAGAGUAACUGUUCACGCAGUGACGGUAUCCAACCAGAAAGUCACGGCUAACUACGUGCCAGCAGCCGCGGUAAUACGUAGGUGGCAAGCGUUAUCCGGAUUUAUUGGGCGUAAAGCGAGCGCAGGCGGUUGCUUAGGUCUGAUGUGAAAGCCUUC
Molecule: ribosomal RNA, 541 nt
Filed under: uncultured bacterium
Lineage: Bacteria
Description: bacterial SSU rRNA
Rfam family: Bacterial small subunit ribosomal RNA
Source: RNAcentral